AAGCCUGACUUGAUCCCUCUGACACUCAAGUUAGAGAACCAUUUAGAGUAGAAGAAUGUAGAAUGCGGAAGAAAGAGAACAGAAUGAGGGGCUAUUUAUACCAGGGGUCUGUAGUUGUCAGUGGUUAGGGCAGUUGCCAAGGGGUUAUAACCGCCUUUCGAGAAGGUGGAUGAGGUGGCCUAACUAUUGCCUUGGUGGCAAUGAAGUGGCGCAGCUGCUUGCUGAAAUAGUGUAUCUGCAUGCCGAGGUGGUGUUCUUGUCUGCUGCGGUGGCAUAACUGCCCAUUUAGGUAGUUAGGUGUUGCAACUGUCUGUUGAGGUGGCAGCUUCAGUGGUUGGGAGAGGCCUGACCGCUGUUGAGGUAGCAGACCCUGUUGCUGCGGUACUUCUAGUUGUUGAGGAGUUGGUGUUCAUGUGUAAGCUUUGAAAUGUUACUUUUAUCCUCAAUCAUUACUUGUUCUAGUUGUCCUAGUGGAGCUGGGCAAUUUUGAUAUAUGAUACCAUAAAAUAUAGUACCAUGUAGUUUCCGAUUGAUACACACCAUUUUGUUUUUUGUUAGAAAACAUUUGGUUCAUAUCUUGGUUGAACUAUAUGAUGUGACAGGUGCCAUCUGUAUGGAACUUGUUAGGCAGCAGGCAGGUCUUCAGUUUCUGUCUCGUGCAAUUAGCAGCCUGACAAAAGCUCAGAAGUGUUCGCCUAUGUUCUUGCCCAUUGUUUCACUGUUGUUGGCUCAAGCAGAAGCAAGCCUUGGAGCAAAAGCCAAGUGGGAGAAGAACCUUAGCCUUGAAUGGUUUGCCUGGCCAGCAGAAAGGAGGCCAGCUGAGUUGUAUUUCCAAAUGCACUUGCUUGCAAGGCAAUCCAGUACAGUCUCCAACCAAGAUUCUGGCGUAGGGUCGACUCAAAGCCCAGAGAGGUGGAUACUACGAGCCAUACAUUUGAACCCCUCAUGUUUGAGAUACUGGAGAAUACUUCACAAGUGUUACAGCUAGGUAAUUGACUUGCUUAUCCAGACAUGUGCUUCGUGGUUGUAUCAGCUGGCUUUAGCCUCGUUCAUUUUAGUGGUUAAUAUUUCGAAUC
Molecule: long non-coding RNA, 1076 nt
Organism: Musa acuminata AAA Group (dessert banana)
Lineage: Eukaryota; Viridiplantae; Streptophyta; Magnoliopsida; Zingiberales; Musaceae
Exons: 2
Source: RefSeq, a predicted model, not a curated record